Long non-coding RNA from Hyla sarda, 419 nucleotides. RefSeq lists it as uncharacterized. The transcript is spliced from 3 exons. Lineage: Eukaryota; Metazoa; Chordata; Amphibia; Anura; Hylidae. The record is from RefSeq and is a predicted model, not a curated record.
AAAAAUGAAAGCAGCGAUCUGAUUGGUUGCUAUGGGCAACUAGACAACGUUUCCUCUGGACAGGUUUUGAUAAAUCUCCCCCAUUAUGUUCAGUAAUUUAGAAAUUCUAGGACAAUGAAAGACUCUAAAGACGAGCUGAUAUGUGAAGGUUUUACCUAUGGACAGAACAGGCUGCUGCCUAUGGGCUACCCCUGGAUGAGGGCAUCUGCUGAAGGAAGAAUUUACAUUAAACACUUACGCACCUUCUGCAGCCUCUGCGGGGAGACCCAGAGAAAGUGAAGAAGAGCCAUCGGAGAGGUCACUGAAAUGCGUCGACUUCACAAGAAAUAAACCUGAAGCUCCAUUUACUAAGUUUAGAAAAACCUGAUUCAAAGCUGCUUAAUUAUCUGUAAUAUUGUCGCAGUCCUGACCCCAAUGAG